CCCCCCCCCCCCCCCCCCCCCCCCCCCCCCCCCCCCCCCCCCCCCCCCCCCCCCCCCCCCCCCCCCCCCCCGUGCGCGGGGGCGGCGGGGCCUGGAGCUGGAGCUGGAGCCGGGGCUGAGGCCGGAGCCGGGGCCGGGGGCCGCGGGGAACGCGCCGCGCUCCCGGCUGUAGCUCCCGCGUGAGGGAAUGGCGGUGUCCCUGUCACGGCGCAGCGCUCCCCGGGGCUGUGCGGGGCCGCUGCUCCUGCGGGCGCGCGGGGAAAAUACCGUCCCUUGUCGGGCUGGUUUCACCCCAGCGCUCGGAGCCGGCCUCAGCACCAGGGUGGGACAGGGCUGUGUGACAUCCGCACCCCACCGGGGCAGCGGGGCCGCCCUGGGUGCCAGACCCUGCCUUCAUCCCUGGGUGCCAGACCCCUGCCUUCAUCCCUGGGUGCCCGGCCCCUCUCUGUGUCCUUGUGUGCCAGAACCCUGCUUUCAUCCCUGUGUGCCAAACCCAUGUCUGUGUCCCUGUGUGCUGGAUACCUGCCAUCAUCCCUGUGUGCCAGACUCCUGCUCGUGUCCCUGUGUGCCAGACCCUGCCUUCAUCCCUGGGUGCCUGGCCCCUCUCUGUGUCCUUGUGUGCCAGACCCUGCCUUCAUCCCUGGGUGCCAGACCCCUGUCUGCCCCCCUGUCCACCACACCUGGCUGAGCUCUGGGCAGGCCAGGGCAGGCAGAGCAGCAGCUGUGCCAUCCUCAGGGGCAAAAGCUGUUCUGGCAUAAAGCAGGAUGUUGUUUAAACAUGGGUGUAUAAAGGAGCUUGUCAAAUUCCAGAGAUUGCAUUCUGCAGCUUAGGAGAGCAAAUCCCAGUGAAGUCAUGUUUUAAAUACCUAAGCCCCUUUAUGGAUAUGGGCCCAAAUCAGAGUCACAGAGCAUGAACUUGGCUCAGAGCACUAAAAUCACAGCCCAAGUCUUAAGCUGAAGAUUCAGCAUCUUGUCCUUGCUGCAAAACACAAAACAUUCAUGAUUGAUCCUUAACAAAAGUCCUUCUGUACCUCACUCUUGCUUGUUCCUAAGAUUUGCUUUUUCAGACUUAAAAUAAUUGUUUAAUAGACCAAAACAUUUUUCUUCAGCAAAAUAAAUCUUAAUAACUUGAUACCUUAUUGGGUUUUUUUACAUUUUUGGAGGCCACUCUCAGCCUUGCUAUGACAACUUUUGGACAGCUUUGCCAAGACAAAGAUGCUUCUUUAAUGCCACCCAUAUCUACCUGGCCAUUUCUCAGUGCAUGUGGUUCCCUGCAUGCCUCCAUGUAAGGCAGGAAAAUAAAAUGGCAAAAAUCAAACUUUAGAAUUGAUUCCACAGAGGAGAGCACAAGUGCCCAGUAAGUCUUUAAGAAGAUGGGUCACCACACUACCAUGUCUGUCACCUUUACAUAUUUUCCUUCCUAUUCCAAACCUUUAGGAUAAAACUCUGAGUAAUCACAGACUCCUGUUCAGUAAGAGCUGUAACCCAGUUGUAACCUGUGAUGCAAAGUCCUUUGGCUUAAUAAAUAUCUCCUAUUAGUCACAGGGAGAGAGCAAACACCCUUUAAAAAAAUGUUAAUCUUACUGACAGCAUUUGAUAAUCAGCCAUGAAACACUCCUGACUCACCUGUCAGAUUUUUCUCAAAUCAGGGGAAGCAGAAUUCAUUAAACAGUUCUUUCCUCAUCCCUAUCAAAUCCAGGGAUCUCACAAAUACAUUUUCCCAAGCUUCUCUGCUGUUGUUAGCAGUAGGCAUUGUUCUCAGAGCACUUUCACCUCUUUCUAUGAUCAGCCAAAGGCCUGCCACAUUUACACACUAACAGUCACUUCUGCAGGUCCUCCCAGCUAUCCUGUUGUUUUAAAAAUUAUGACAAUUUAUCUCAAAAUUUUGCACCAACUUUUCCACCUUUUUUAUUUCAAAACUGGCAAUUCCCAUCCUGCCUUUCACUGUAAAAUUUGGAUGAUGUCUGAGCUGUUACUCUCUUCAUGCUCAGGACUUCACAGUCAGGUUACAAGACCUGCUGAAAGGUCUUUUGCCAAUUCUUGACUCUCAUUCAUUACUGUACUUCUCUUUUCUGGCCACUUCACUUUUCCACUUUCUUUCUAAGCUACAGAGCCACAUCAGCUUCUUACCGCUCUGAUCACAAGAAUUGUUAUUAUUGAAAUAGUUCUUUCCCUUUUCACUCAAAACAUGAAUCCCAUGGCCUUGUGCAGCACAGCUGCUCAAGUGUAUCUCAGUCCAAGUCUGAAUUUCAAUUCAUUCAUUUUUGACUGAGACACGUGUCAAUUUUGUUUCCCCUUCCCUGUCUUAUUUUAUCAUAGUCCUUGCACUACUUGAAUCAUCUCAAAAUCCUCCAUAUCUUAAACCUCAAAGAUCUUUAAGUUUAUCUGACCCAAUCCCAAAGAAAGCCUUCAAAAUCCUCCAUAUCUUAAACCUCAAAGAUAUUUAAGUUUAUCUGACCCAAUCCCAAAGUAAGCCAGAUUUUGUUAACUUUACAUCCCAAGUCUGCAAGCAUCCUUAUGCUUGAUUGUAUCAGUGCAAGAACUUAUAGUUUCAGGUAAUCAAAAGGUAAUUGACAAUCUAUUGAUCUUAGUUCACAGCAGGGACAAGCUGACUGUGACAUCGCAGCCUGGCUCCCUUCUAGGACACUGAUUUACUAAUGUGCCUGCUGCUCACAGAAUGUAAUUCCAUUGUCUUUCUUUUGUAACAUUUUAUUCUAAGAUUCUGAGAUAUUCUUUCUCAUUUCACUAACCUUAAAUUAUAGAAAUUGUCGUCCAUUCAUAUUUUCUUUCCUUAGACUGCCUCCUUUGGUUCCAGCACUUUCUUUAUUUUUUCCCUAGAAUGCAGAGAGUUCUAGUGUUCAAACUAUUCUUGCAGCAGACUAUGCAAAUUUUAUGACAUGUGAGGAAGGUAACCAGGCCGAGGUCCUGAUUCUAAUUCUGAAAGAGCACAGGACAAGGUUUGCAGCCAUUCCAGGAGCUGCUUGUCUCUCUGUAAGCUGAGCACCACAGGGACAGCAAGGCCUUGUCCCCAGUGAAAGCAGCAAUUGAUUCCAUUGUGGAGGUCCAGGGAAGGUUUGGACCGGGUGUUCAGCAGCUGAACCAGCUGUUCUUUGACAGCUGAGAGCUGCCAUACCGAUUUCCCUCAGGAUUAAUUUUAAGGCAGCUCUAAUGUAGAUGGAAGUGAUAAUGUAAAGCAAUCCCUUAUCUCAUGGAAGGCAGAUUGUGAACACAGUGGUGCUUCAGCUCCAGCAGGAUAACCCACUAAAACACAUUCCCAUUCCAGAAAAGGCCAAAGGCUACCACAGUGAGGGAUGACACCCUUUGGGGCUGGGAAAGGGCAUUUCAGUAAAGGAUAUUCUGUAAUUGAUGGAGAUCAAUUUUGUGGCCAAUAGGGUACAAUGGUGGAUUUACCAUUCCACAAAUGCCAGCCUCUAUUAACAACAGCUGCACAAUGACCUACUUAUAAAAAAAGACAAGUGAAAAUUCCAUUUUGGAAGACAGCUGCCUAGAAAUUAAUAUUUCCAAAUGAAUGUGGAGAGCCUAAAUACUACGGCCUCAGGCACUUACACCAGAAAGGUUAAGUAGCACGUUUAAUAGAUAAUCUCCAUGAUUAAUUUAUCAGAAAGAACCAAGUGGCUAAUUUCCCCUAAUUGAAAUUUUCUGGCAUGAUAAAAAAUUUUCAUAUAUAAUUCCACUUCCAUUUAAAUCCAUUGUACUAACUUACUAUACGAAAGCAAACAAACCUACAGUCUUGAAUCCUGCUUUCUUCUUCCAGUAAUGGAACAAAAUACUUGCAGGGCCACAUAGAAAGUACUAGAAUGGAUUCUCCUGAUGACUGACAAUACAAAAAGGGAUCAAACAUUCAAAUCCAAUUUCAAAGACAAAAAGGGACCCAGAUUUGCAGAGUGCUUCACAGCCAUCAGCUUUUGCUUUUAGCUCUGGGACAAACCUGGCUGCAGCUCACUGUGAGGAAUUGAGUGGACUGGGGCUCACUGAGAGCACUUUGGAGGGAUUGGAGCAGCUGUAGGGCAAAAGCACAGAGCAAACCGAGGUCAGGGGGCUGUGUCACUGCACUGACUCAGAAAUACUUGAGCUGCUGCUCUAUACCUACAUUUUUAUGUAUUUCUGAUAAAGUAAGUGUCCUGCAUUGUCAAGGGUGGGAUGUCUUGCAAGGAGAGGUGUUUUGGGUUUUUUUUUCAGACUGUGAUGUUCAGAUACAAACUCCUCUUCAGAUGUGGCACAAAGAGAGCAAACUUUAUGCUAGGCACAGACAGGAGGAAAUUGCUCUGAAUUUAACUUUGCUAGGUAAAUCGGUUAGACAACAUGAGGUGGAAAAGAAAAGGGUAUCUGGCACAUGCAACAAUGGAGGAAACUUGGAAGGGGAAAAGUAAUAUGGGUCUUAUACAGAACAGAGAACAGCAGUUACCCGUUUCCUUUGGGCCAUGAGGUGAUUUAUGUGUGGAAAAUGUCAUGUACUGUAAAAUCAAUUUCUCCAUUAUAUCCAUGUUGUCAUUUUUAUUCCUGGGCUUGAGUUUCAGAAUAUUUUUUAAGUCUUUCUUGGUGGUCAGGAGAGCAAUCUCAAGUGAUGCUAACUUUGGUUUAGGCUCCCACUGCUAAUUCUGUCUGUGUUGUGUUGCUUGUCUAUUGUAAUUAAUUUCUGUAUGAAAGAAUUAAUUUGUUCUAGUAACUGUGUGGUUCAUAUAGUCCUCAAAGGACUUUUGAUUCAUUAGAUAAAAGAAAAUUUUGGCAUGUCCAGGUCUAGGAAAGAUGGAUAUUGUGCAGAGUUCAGCACCUCCAGGACUUUGAAUUCAGUGUCCAGAUGCUUGGCACUCCUGACACCUGCUGCAGAGCAGUUCGGUUUGGCAGUGCUGAGGAAGUGAACCUCUGCCGGGUCUCUGAUGGGUUCCUGGUGAGUCACUGGAACUGGGACUCCACACGCCCAAUCCCAGGUCUUGCUCCACAUCUUUUGUACUUAAAAGUACAGCUGUCGAUUAGAUAUGUGAUAGGUAAACAUGUCUUGGCUAGAACUGUGUUUUUAAUACGCUUUUUAUCUAUCACAGGUUUUACAGGUUCUAAAACUCAUGCAGAGGAGUUCUGCAGAUUGCACUCUCUACUUUCCGCCUCUGAGGGGUGGGGAAUUCUUAAAUAUUCCUGUUCCAGAUCUGCCGGGUGCCCGCAGCCUUUGCCCUAGGAAGCAGCCCCCGGUGCGGAGGAGGGUGUGAACAGGGCGAGCAGGGCUGGAGCUCCGUGCCCGGCAGGGCAGGGCAGUUCCUG
RNAcentral lists this long non-coding RNA (5274 nucleotides) under Ficedula albicollis (Collared flycatcher). Its description in RNAcentral is "lncRNA (ENSFALG00000028163.1)". Lineage: Eukaryota; Metazoa; Chordata; Aves; Passeriformes; Muscicapidae. The record is from RNAcentral.